This 776-nucleotide ribosomal RNA is filed under the name uncultured Phascolarctobacterium sp. RNAcentral describes it as "bacterial SSU rRNA". It matches the Rfam family "Bacterial small subunit ribosomal RNA", at positions 193 to 947 of the family's 1533-position model. Lineage: Bacteria; Bacillati; Bacillota; Negativicutes; Acidaminococcales; Acidaminococcaceae. The record is from RNAcentral.
CAGGAUGAAGAAAGAUGGCCUCUACAAGUAAGCUAUCGCUAAAGGAUGGGCCUGCGUCUGAUUAGCUAGUUGGUAGUGUAACGGACUACCAAGGCGAUGAUCAGUAGCCGGUCUGAGAGGAUGAACGGCCACAUUGGGACUGAGACACGGCCCAAACUCCCACGGGAGGCAGCAGUGGGGAAUCUUCCGCAAUGGACGAAAGUCUGACGGAGCAACGCCGCGUGAGUGAUGAAGGAUUUCGGUCUGUAAAGCUCUGUUGUUUAUGACGAACGUGCAGUGUGUGAACAAUGCAUUGCAAUGACGGUAGUAAACGAGGAAGCCACGGCUAACUACGUGCCAGCAGCCGCGGUAAUACGUAGGUGGCGAGCGUUGUCCGGAAUUAUUGGGCGUAAAGAGCAUGUAGGCGGCUUAAUAAGUCGAGCGUGAAAAUGCGGGGCUCAACCCCGUAUGGCGCUGGAAACUGUUAGGCUUGAGUGCAGGAGAGGAAAGGGGAAUUCCCAGUGUAGCGGUGAAAUGCGUAGAUAUUGGGAGGAACACCAGUGGCGAAGGCGCCUUUCUGGACUGUGUCUGACGCUGAGAUGCGAAAGCCAGGGUAGCGAACGGGGUUAGAUACCCCGGUAGUCCUGGCCGUAAACGAUGGGUACUAGGUGUAGGAGGUAUCGACCCCUUCUGUGCCGGAGUUAACGCAAUAAGUACCCCGCCUGGGGAGUACGGCCGCAAGGUUGAAACUCAAAGGAAUUGACGGGGGCCCGCACAAGCGGUGGAGUAUGUGGUUU